UGGGGUCAGAAUCGAGAAACAGUGAACCCUCAGAGGUAUAACCCUGAACAUCAUCUAUGGGAGCUUCAGGUUUUCCACAAAGCAUUAGGUGGAACUUCCAUGCAAUGGGAUCGAUAAUCGGUCUAAAUUGAGGGAAGAAUGUGGAGAAUGCAAAAUCUUCAUUUGGAUCACCCACAUGCUUUGCUUCUGGUUUUUAUCUGCAGGUACCUGAGGUAAAUCCAGCCCAUGUAUGUUCCGAAUAUCAAAGUCAGAAGAUAUGUAGUUGGCUCUGGAGUGAAGUAACUUAUGGCAAUGG
Long non-coding RNA from Hibiscus syriacus, 295 nucleotides. RefSeq lists it as uncharacterized. The transcript has 2 exons. Lineage: Eukaryota; Viridiplantae; Streptophyta; Magnoliopsida; Malvales; Malvaceae. The record is from RefSeq and is a predicted model, not a curated record.